GCAAGAGCUAUAUUUUGGAAUCCAAAAUUAAAGUUGUAGUGUUCUAUAAAAAAACUGAAAAUGAAAACAUUGCAAAGUAUACAAAAAUUUCAAAAUACGGCUGGUCCAAGCGUUGCUGUUGCUGGGAGUGCAAGCUCUGCAAAUUCUAAAGCGAUUCCGACGAUACCAAUAGCGUUAAAUCAUGUGGCAGAUUUAUCGUUGAUUCAGACAACAACUGAAGCACCCACACCGGGUCGCGUAGGCGUACUAAUCAAGUUUUUUGAAAAAGUUAUUUCUGAUAAAAAGGAACAGCCUAAAGUUAUCAAGCCAAGAUCUACUAAAGAAAAUGGGUAAUUAAAUGAAGAACUGCAAGUAGUACCAUCGAUGAACAUAAGACCUAGUAAAACAUGUCUCGUUUCCACGCAAUCAGAACUAAAAUCUAAAGUUCCAACUACAGAUGAGGAAACCAACAAUUUAAUGAAAUUCGUUGUAGAAGCGCUACUGGAGAAGAUACCGUGUAACUUGUGACGUGAGUUUUACACCACCAUCACAACCUCAAAUAUAGAAACGCUAAUGGAAGAAGAUAUCGAGUAAUUUGUGACGCAAGUUUUACUUUAGUAGAACUAUGUCGGAUGAAGUAGGCCUAGAAGCAUUAAUGUAAGAUAAUAUGGAGUAGCUUGUAAUGUGAGUCUUACUUUAGUAGUACUAUAUCGGAUGAAGUAGGCCUAGAAGCACUAAUGGAAGAUAAUAUGGAGUAGCUUGUAACGUGAGUCUUACUUUAGUAGUACUAUAUCGGAUAAAGUAGGCCUAGAAGCACUAAUGGAAGAUAAUAUGGAGUAGCUUGUAACGUGAGUCUUACUUUAGUAGUACUAUAUCGGAUAAAGCCCUAGAAGCGGUGAUGAAAGUUUCGUGACAUUCUGGAACAGAGCAUAAAAGUUUAGUAAUAGUCGGUUCAGUUAAAGACUGGUUACAGACAGUUAAAAUGGCCUCUAAUAUUUUCGGACCAUCGUUUUUUUAUACGUUUUUAAUGAAUUGUGUUCGUUUGACGUACUUAAGUCAGUAAUAUUGGGGAUAGGAGAGAACUUUAAUAUAUCAAUGGAUCCAUUUUAUAAUCUGUGAUGGUUUGCGAUUUUAUAUUUUGCAUGCAAAAGCCAGUGGUUCGUUGGUUAAAAAUUUGUUAUAGACGCUACACACAAUAGUAUAAUAUAUUUUUUCAAAAGUUUAGGACAUCAAAA
Molecule: long non-coding RNA, 1214 nt
Organism: Teleopsis dalmanni
Lineage: Eukaryota; Metazoa; Arthropoda; Insecta; Diptera; Diopsidae
Exons: 7
Source: RefSeq, a predicted model, not a curated record